UCCUGAUAAUGAGGCGUGACUGUUCCCUACCCCUCCUGGCUGCAGCCUGCUCUUCUUGUCUGGGAGGUGAGACCAUCCAGUCCCCUCUUGCUGUGUCGCUUGGGAUGGCAUUAGAGAUUUUUAGAACAAGCCUAAGGACAAACCAAACCCUUUUGGAUGCAGCAUAAACCCUAAAAUACGAACUGUUUUCUCAGGCUUUAGUAUAUGAGGAGAGCUGAUGCUGCCGUGCUGCUUAAAUGGCAAGGAUCUGAAAACCGGAAGCGAUUCACAAGUGUUCUGCAUCCCAUUGUACUGACAUGGACCUGUAUCCCUGCUUCUGAUCUGGACUAGGUCUGAGUCUGUCAGGAAUGAAGAAGAGAGAGAAGGAAUUCAUGCUGAAGAGGAGCAUUUGACAACUGCUGCUCAUUUGCAAACGCACUGCAAGAAGCAGAAAAUGGGAAGAUUGCCUUUGUCUGGCUCUGGCUAAAACGCUUCAGCUUCUUGUUGUUUCACGAGCAGGAACAUCAGCUCUGAUAACAGACAAACUGCCUACUCCAUGUAGCCAAGAGAGGCUCUCAAAAGAGCAAACCAUCUGUUAAAGGACUUGACUUUAUCUGACGGCAUCUUUUCUUUCUGUUGAAUCAACUAACACGAUAGCUUCAGGAUUCAGGGGACACUUGUGCUUGGCACGAAAAAAUCCUGUUGUGGGCAAGUUAGUGCAAAGCCAACUGGGGUGGCGCUGGGUGUUUGUGUGGAUGCAAGUGGGAAGUCUCCCGAGGCUCAUCCAGUGCUGGAUUAGCUGAAGUCAUACUCAGGUCAGUGCAGCCAGAAGGAUGGUCCUGAUAAGGCAAGAAAGGAAUGAAUGUGCAAUGGGAGGAGAGAGACUGGUGAUCCAUUGCUAAUCCAAAGAGUUCAUUUACUCACCUUGCCACGGAAAAGACAGAGUAGAAGCAGCACAAAACUUUAUCUAAAGAAAUGUUAAAAAGAAUCUUCUCCUAAAUGAACUAAUUAAAAUUAA
Long non-coding RNA from Strigops habroptila (Kakapo), 997 nucleotides. RefSeq lists it as uncharacterized. The record is from RefSeq and is a predicted model, not a curated record. The transcript has 5 exons. NCBI's taxonomy places the organism in Eukaryota, Metazoa, Chordata, Aves, Psittaciformes, Psittacidae.